GAAGAGAUCUCUCCAAAGACUCAACCAGCUUCUCAGCCCUGCGGUACUUAUAUACAAAUUUGUAGUUCUCAACCUUGAGCUCCCCCACAAUUAGGGAUGGCAAUUUAACCCGAACCCGUGGGUACACGCCCGAACCCGACCCGAUUUGACGGAUAAAACCCGAGUUGACUGGGUAUGGGUUCGGGUUCGGGUAAAACCCGAUUUAAAAAAUAGGGUUCGGGUUCGGGUCUGGGAUGUUCACUACCCAUACCCAAACCCUACCCGAACACAUGUAUUUACUAAAUUACCCCUUGUACACCAAGCCACCACCCUUUACAUUUUCUGUUUGGUCAGAUAUGCUGGGUUCAGUUGUAUUAUUUCUACUUGUUUAUGUAAAAAUCACCAAAAUCACCAACAAUCCCCACAGAACCCCAAAACUGUAACCCAGAUCUGGUCGACAGUGGCAUAUAGAACCUCCAUCGCUCCACCACGAGACCACCGUCCUCGAGCCAGAACCUUCGCGAUCCAAGCAUAGUUGCCGUCGUGUGACCAUUAGAAGUGUCGCGCCGCCAUCGCCUCGAGUCCUCGAUCUCCCUCUUUCUCCUUCGAUCUGCAGUUCCUCUUCACCGUUCUUCCAUCUUCACCUUUCCCCCACCGACCCCCACCUCGACCCAUAGCCGCAACCUCGCCGUGAAACCCAAAACCCUCGCCGAAAAUUGAACCCUCCAUUCCCGAUUUCAAAGAGGAGGUUGAAGGUGGUGUUGUGGCUGAGUUCAGCGAUUGGUUGAAGGUGGUGUUGUGGCCGAAAAUUGAACCCUCCAUUCCCGCUUCUUGUUUCGUCGCCAACGUCCUCGGCUUCUGACUCGCUUGGAAAGUCAGAUUCACAACUAAAAGUGUGAUAUUGAAAGGAUAGCAACGAGGCUUGCUCUCUCAUGGACUUGGGAAUCAGAAAUUUUUAGGAAUAUAUUAUUUGCUGGUUGUUGAUGCAGGAACUUUAAGGGGCCGUAAUUUGCUGGUUGAUUGGGCCUAUUAUGGAAAUUAAUUGUUGCUGGUUGCAUACUAUUAAGCUGAAGUAUUUUGCAGGAGGAUUUGCAUCUGUAACAAGUUGGAGUUUUAUUCAAUCAUGGUGGAGUUUAGUUACCUUUUGAGACUUAAUUAUGCUGUAAUGGGGACCUGUCCAGUGCCAUUCGUUGAAAUGGAGUUUAGAUAGAAAACUCUUCUGUUGCUGUCACUUACAAAUUUUAUCUUAAUAGCAACAUGCAAAUAUUUCAACAAUUGCAUAAAA
Molecule: long non-coding RNA, 1264 nt
Organism: Lotus japonicus
Lineage: Eukaryota; Viridiplantae; Streptophyta; Magnoliopsida; Fabales; Fabaceae
Exons: 2
Source: RefSeq, a predicted model, not a curated record